Molecule: long non-coding RNA, 11179 nt
Organism: Acinonyx jubatus (cheetah)
Lineage: Eukaryota; Metazoa; Chordata; Mammalia; Carnivora; Felidae
Exons: 3
Source: RefSeq, a predicted model, not a curated record
AUUUUAACUGGAAAGAACAACUGAUAGAGAAACUAUAGUUUUUCAGACUUCAAUAUCUGGCAGAUGUUAUCUCAAAAAUGAAUGAAAUUAGUCAUUUCAAGGAAGUAAUGGACAGUAUUUGUUGUCAAUGAUAACAUAUGAGCUUUUUUUUUUUUUUUUGUAAUGUUUAUUUUUGAGAGAGAGACGGAGCGUUAGCAGGGGAGGAGCAGAGAGAGAGGGAGACACAGAAUCCGAAGCAGGCUCCAGGCUCCGAGCUGUCAGCACAGAGCCCAAUGUGGGGCUCGAACCCACAACCAGCGAGAUCAUGACCUGAGCUGAAGUGGGAUGCUCAACUAACUGAGCCACCCAGGGGCCCAACAUUUAAGCUUUCAAGGUAAACUAAAAUUUUGUAAAACUUGUACAUAUCCCCUGAACUUGAGAGCUUCCCAGUUCUUAAGGAUGUUGCUAAUGAGAUUGGUGGCAUUUCCAAAUGUGAUUUUUUUUUCAUAUUGUGUAGUGAAAUGUAUCAGUUUUUAGAAGAUUUGUAUAACUCAGCAAUCCAGUAUUUUCCAGGUGACCAGUAGUGAUGUUAAAAUGUUAUGCAUGGGUUAAAAAAUCUGUCCAAGAAUAAAUUUGAGGGGCACCUAGGUGGUUCAGUCAGUUAAGCGCCCGACUCUUCGACUCUUGGUUUCUGCUCAGGUCAUGAUCUCAUGGUUCGUGAGUUCCAGCCCUGCAUCAGGCUCCACUCUGAUAGCGCAGAGCGUGCUUGGGAUUGUCUCUCUCCCUGUCUCUCUGCCCCUCCCCUGCUUGCUCUUUUUCUCUCUCUCAAAAUAAAUAAAUAAGCUUAAAAAUCUUUUUUAAAUGAAUGCAUUUGAAUGUAACAGAUACGAAUGUAACAGUAGGAGAGGCACAUUGACGUUGUUCUGGAGUCCACGUUACAGUUAACUUUUAAGAAACUACCACUUGUAUGUUUUGUUAUAAUAAAAGAAUCCCCAGGUGGGGUCUCACCCAGUCUCAGGAACCAGGAAACACAGGAAACCAAGGCUGGGCAGUGGAGCGCCCAGAUACGCAAAGCAGAAAGGCCACCUGGGCCUUUCUGGAUCAAGGAGCCGGGUUGGCCGUGCAAGUUGGGGUGGCCCUGAUGCUUGCCGUACCCACCCCCGGGGAAGGACCGUGGUGCAGGCCUAGCACAGAGGUGAGUCCCAGGAUGACCCAGGGUGGCCUCACCGCCCAAGAGCCCGGUUGCUGGGUCAGUCCGGAGCCGCCAUGCCAGCUCCGCGUCCUUUACUGGAAAGCUGACAAAUGUGUGCAUGACCCAGAAUGAGAAGGGAUCCAAUAAGAGAAACUACUCUUGGAUGCACGUGAUAACCAUAUGCAAAGAUAAACUGGAAGAAACAAAGAAAAGAUGAAGGCACAUGGUAAGGAGCCGUUGGGCUUGGGUGUAAGAUUCACCGCCCCUCUGCUGUCAGUGGAUACUUUGAUGUAAGAGGUAAAGAGGACGAGGGGAUCCAGGCUUUCAUAGAAAAUGACGACAUUCCAAUAACUCCUCCUGCAGGAAUCUAUCACUGCUUCACACAGGAUGAAAACAAGCAUGUGACAGUCACGAGGCUCUUGGUGGGAGGACCGGUGUGGACUCUAUACAACCGGCCAGUUGACUGUUUUUCACGCUCAAGGACAGUACAUAAAAUUUUUGGCACAGACAACAUAGCAGUGCUUCUGGGAACACUUCUUAAAAAGAUCCUAAACCUGAUAACUGGGCAGAAAAUCUAUCAUUUUCUCUCUGCUUUCACGUCACAGCCUUGGAAACUAGGUUAUCUUUCCUCUGCAAGAUUAUUUGAUCAGAAUGUGUUCUGGGGCACCUGGAUGGCUCAGGCCACUUCGACUCAGGUCGUGAUCUCACAGUUCAUGAGUUCGAGCCCUACAUCUGGCUCUGUGAUGACGGCUCAGAGCCUGGAGCCUGCUUCAAAUUCUGUGUCUCCCUCUCUCUCUGCCCCUCCCCUGCUUGCAUUCUCUCUCUCUCUCUCUCAAGAAUAAAUAAACAUUUAAAAAAAAAAAAAACAUGUUUUAAUGAAAGAAGCUAUAAAGCUAAUUUUUGACACAGAAGCAACUGUGGAAAUUUGGAAAAUCACAAUCAUUUUUCUCUAACCCAGUCAAGAUCAGUGGUUGAGACACGCAUUCAACUUUAACUCAAGUGGAAGUCUUAUGUCCUGAAAUGUAACUUCUUAGAUGUUCUGUUCAUGAUUCUUCAACUCUAAGCCAGAUGUAUCCAUCAAUGCCUUACCUGUCUUAUUAGAAAGUUGUGGUAUAGAAAUAUUUUUGGUCUUUGUCCCCAGUCCCUGGCACAGAACUCCUAAACCCCUUGGAAUUUGCUGAGUGACAGGAGUGUCUUUCAUUAUUUAUAAACUGGGACAGAAUCUCCUUUGCUCAGGACCUUCUGGACCUCACUCUAAUGUACCUCUUCAUCUGACUGUCCAUCGGAAUCCUUUAGAUAUCCCGUAUAAUAAGUCGAUACAUGUGAAUCGGUAUUUCCCUGAGAUUUGUGGGCUAUUCCAGCAGAUGAUGAACCCGAGGAGAGGGUCCUGGGAAUCCCCAACUUAUAGCCGAUUGGUCCAAAGUGCAAGUGUCCCAGAUCUGCAGCUGGCAUCAGUCUGACAGGAAGGAGCCCUUCCCCCGUGGGAUCUGAUGCUGUCUCCAGGCAGGUGGUGUCAGAAUUGAGUUAAAUUGUAGGACAUUCAGUCCUGCGAGGAUUGCAGAAUUGCUUGUGUGAAAACCAACUAGAAACGUGUACUAGUAGAUACCAUAACUAACUAGGUAUAGCACACUUUUUUUUUCUCCCCAAAUUGUACCUUCCGGUAUGGAGCGGCAAGGGGGGGAAGAGCUGUCAUAUUAGAGGCACGCUCUCAGCUGCUGAUGCCUCUUGCUGCUUUCUUGUUCAAUAUCAAGGACCUGCAACUGACUUAAUUAAAAAAAAAAAAAAAAAAAGCCACCUGUGUCUGGUCUCCUUCCUGGUGCAGGGAAACCUGGGGAGCCUCAGACGGCAUGCUGGCUCCUCUGACCUGUGUGUGCAUGGCCCUGCUGUCUCAUCUGUUCAUUUUUUCAAACUCAUGCUUUUGCUUUCUUCCACUCCAUUGUCUGCUUUUGGUAUUGUGGAUCCUUAAAAAUUUAAUAGUUGGGGGGCACCCGGGUGGCUCAGUCGGUUGAGCGUCCGACUUCGGCUCAGGUCAUGAUCUCUCAGCUCCAUGAGUUCGAGCCCCGCCUCAGACUGUGCUGACAGCUGAGAGCCUGGAGCCUGCUUCAGAUUCUGUGUCUCCCUCUCUCUCUGCCCCAACCCACUCACAUUCUGUCUCUGCCUCUGUCAAAAAUAAAUAAACAUUAAAAAAAAAAAAAUUAAACGGUUGGGGGAUAAGUCCCUGGAAUCUACUCCUGAAAUCAUUGUUGCACUAUAUGCUAACUAACUUGGAUGUAAAUUUUAAAAUAAAUAAAAUUAAUUUUUAAAAAAUUAAAAAUUAAAUUAAAAAUUAAACAUUUGGGGUGCCUGGCUGGCUCAGUCAGAAGAGCAUGUAAUUCUUGAUCUCUCGGUCAUGAGUUCAAGCCCCAUGUUGGGUGCAGUUUACUUAAAAAAAUAAAAUGAUUUUUUAAAAAUAAAGUAAGUUUAAAAAAUAAAAAUUAAGUGGUCUUUGAUAAUCGGAGGGGAGAGAUUAUCUGCAAUAUUCGAAAAGCUGUUAAAAUCCUCCUUCGUGGCGUGCCUGGGUGGCUCAGUCGGUUAAGCAGCCAACUUCGGCUCAGGAUAUAAUCUCAGGUUCAUUAUAAUCUCAGGGCCCUGCAUAGGGCUCUGUGCUGACAGCUCAGAGCCUGGAGCCUCCUUUGGAUUCUGUGUCUCCCUCUCUCUCUGCCCCUCCCCUGCUGGUGCUCUUUCUCUCCAAAAUAAGUAAACAUUAAAAAAAAAUUUUUUUUAAUCCUCCUUCAUUUUCCUUUUUCCAAAUAUAAAUCUGUGUGUGGCCAGAUCUCCUUCAUAUUCCUCAGGCAAAACAUUCACAACAGACUGAAUGCAGAAGCAGAGAUGAGAAUCCAGCUAUUUCCAUCAACUCAGCCAGGAAGAGAUUUGCAAAAAUGAAAACAAACAACCCUCCCCACUAAGUUUUUUUUUGGGGGGGGGAGGGGAAUGUAGUGUUUUGUCUUUUUUUUUUUUUUAGGGAGAGAGCAUGAGCAGGGGAGAGGGGGAGAGGAAGAGAGAGAGAGAGGGAAUCUCAGGCAGACUCUAUGCCCAGUGUGCAGAGUCCGACACAGGGCUCAAUCCCACGACCCUGAGAUUAUGACCUGAGCUGAAAUCCAGAGUCAGACACCCAACCGGCAGCCACCCAGGUGCCCCUGAAUAAAUAAACCUAAAAAAUAAAAAUAAAAAACUGCUUUAACUUUUAACUCAGUAAAUGUAGUUUUGUAUAACUCCUUUAUAUAAACAAAGCUUUUUGGAGUCCUCAACAACUCCCAAGAGUGUACAGGGUUCCGAAAUCCCAAAAGUUUGAGAAUUAUGCUAGAGGAAAGCACCAGUGAGGCAACAAAAACGGGCACCACAGCAUCAUACACAAAAAAUUUAACAUUGAUGCAAUAAUGCUAUGUAACAGGUAGUCCAUAUUCCUUGUUCCAAGUUGUCUCAAUUUCGUGAAAUUUAGGGAGCAAGUCAGGGAUCCAGAAUCCAAUAAAGAUCAUGCCUUGCUGUGGUUGUCAUGCCUCAUUAGUUUUCUCGAACCCAAAGCACUACCCUGUCCUUUUGUGUGUGGAUGGGUGCGAGGUGUUUCUAACGCUGCUAUUUUUGAAAAAGCCAUGUCAGCUGUUUGGUAGAAUAUCCUCACAGUUACAUUGUUUCUUUUGUCUGGUGGUCUCCUUAUCACUGGAUUCAAGUUAAACACCUUUAACAGGAAUUUUACAUAAAUUGUGUCACUCCCAGUGCAUCCCAUCAGGAAGCCCGAUGUUCAUGCGUCCUAUUUUAGUUAUGACUAACUCUAUGUUUGAGAAUUUUUUGAUUGUGAUUUUAUAUAUUUACUUUAAUAUUUAAUUUUUUGAAGUUUAUUUAUUUUGAGAGGACGAUCAUUGGGGGAGGGGCAGAGAGAGAGCCCCAAGCAGGUUCCACACCGUCAGCGCAGAGCCCAAUGUGGGGCUCGAAUUCACAAACCGUGAGAUCAUGACCCUAGCUGAAGUUGGACGCUUAACUAACUGAGGCACCCAGGUGCCCCUUCAGACUUUAUUUUUGAGAGAGAGAGUGAGAAGGGGAGAGGCAGAGAGAGAAUCCCAGUCAGGCCCCACACUCAGUGCAAAGCCGGACAUGGGACUCGAACUGAUGAACCAUGAGAUCAUGACCUAAGCUGAAAUCAAGAGUUGGACACUUAACCGACUGAGCCACCCAGGUGCCCCUAAAAAUUAAAUUUUUUUUAAGUUUAUUAUUUAUUUUUGAGAGAGAGACAGAGCAUGAGCAUGAGUAGGAGAGGGGCAGAGAGAGAGGGAGACACACAGAAUCCGAAGCAGGCUCCAGGCUCUGAGCUGUCAGCACAGAGUCCGAUGUGGGGCUUGAACUCGUGAACUGUGAGAUCAUGAACUGAGCCGUAGUCGGACGCUCAACCGACUGAGCCACCCAGGUGCCCCUGGAAAUUAAAUUCUUAACUUGACUUUACAAAGUUUAAAACUGAUAAUUUUUCUUUCUGGGUCUUACAAAUACGAGAAACUUCUAUGAUUUCUCUCUAAUUUCUUCUCUGCUAUAUUCCAUGUUGUUAUUCCAUAGUAUUUUAGUUCCAGUGAGUUUUCUAAGUUCCCUCAUGUUUUUCCAAUAGAUUCAUCAGCACGUUUUGCCAGUUUCUUAGCUCAGGGUAGUGUCUUGUAUUCCAUCAUUGGACAGGCAUCAUUGAAUGGGUCUUUCAACAAAGGUCUGUGAGUAAUUAAUAUCCUCUGUCCAACUCUGUCUCUAUCCUCCCUCCUUUUUUUUUUUUUUUAACUUUUUACCGGAGCAUAAUAUAUGUAUUCACAUAUGCAGAAAAGUACACAAACUACUGAUGUAUAACUUAUGAAUGUUCCCCCAGUCACUGCCCAGCUCAGGAAACAUAACAUCACCAACACCCCAAAAACCCUCCUCAUGCACCUCCUGGCACUGUUUUUCCCAAUUUCUCCCAAAGUAACUGCCGUCCUAAAUCCUACUAAAAUGGACUGGUUUUUGCCUAUUUUUGUUUUGAUGGAAAUGGAAUCAGACGCAUGUAUUCUGCUGUGUCUUACUUCUCAACAUUGCGUCUGUGAAACUCAUCCAUGCUUUUGCAUAAAAUAGUUAUAAUUUAUUCUGUUGCUGUCUGACACUCCAUUUUAUGAAUCUGCCACAAUUUAUGGAUCUAUUCUACUGGGGUUUUUUUUAUUUUUUUUUAAUGUUUAUUUAUUUUUCACAGAGAGAGAGAGAGAGAGAGAGAGAGACAGAGCAUGAGUGGGGGAGGGGCAGAGAGAGAGGGAGACACAGAAUCCGAAGCAGGCUCCAGGCUCCGAGCUGUCCGCACAGAGCCCGACACGGGGCUCGAACCCACAAACCGUGAGAUCAUGACCUGAGCUGAACUCGGUUGCUCAACCAACUGAGCCACCCAGGCGCCCCGGAUCUGUUCUACUGUUGAUGGACAUUAGGGGUCUUUCUGGUUUGGGGCUAUUUUAAUGAGGCAUGGUGAAUGUUCUAGCCCUUGUCUUUUGCUCCAUGUAUGUAUGAAAUUCCGUUGGACGACACUUAGGAGUGAAUUAAUGGCUCACAAGUUACUGUGUAAGUGUUCAUCUUUCACGAACACUGCCAAAUGGUCUUCUAAGGGAUUGGUUAAUUUCUUUUCCACCAACAGCCUAUGGGACCUUCAGUCUCUCAUGUCAGUCUCGCCACAUUUUCGCUAACCCUCAGCACUGUCGUUCUUUUCGAUUUUGGUCAUUCUUCUGGGUGUGCAGUGGUAACUCAUGGAAGUUUUACCUUAUGAUUUUUUUAAUGUUUAUUUAUUUAUUUUUGAGAGAGAGAGAAUGAGAGCAUGAGCAGGGGAGGGACACAGAGAGACAGAAUCUCGAGCUGGCCCCACAUUGUCAGCACAGAGCCCCAUGCAGGACUCGAACCCACAAACUGUGAGAUCAUGACCCGAGUCAAAAUCAGAAGUUGACAUUUAACAGCCUGAGUCACCCAGGCGCCCCUUGUGGUGGUUGUACAUUUCAUUUCCCUGGAAACUAAGGGGACUGCGCUCCUUAUCGUAUGCUUAAUAUUCAUUUCAUUAUCCUCUUUUAUGAAGUGCCUGUCUCAAGUCUUGUGCAUUUUUUUUUUUUCCCAUUGGAUUCUGCCCGUUUGUGACUUGUAGGAGUUUGAUAUAUAUUCUGGUAUGAGUUCCCUUUUUUGGAUACAUACGCUGUAAAAGUUUUCUCCUAUUCAGUGGCUUUACUUUAAUAUUUAUUUAUUUAUUUAUUUACUUACUUACUUACUUACUUAUUUAUUUAUUAAUAGGCUCAUGCCCAGUGUGAAGUCCAGUUCGAGGCUUGAACUCUGGAACCUGAGAUCAAAACCUGAGCUGAGAUCAAGAUACGGAUGCUUAACUGAAGUGGCUGCGCCAGCUUGCAUUCCCACCAACAAUGCAAAAGAGAUCCUCUUUCUCCGCAUCCUUGCCAACACCUGUUGUUGCCUGAGUUGUUAAUGUUGUUAUGUGUUUUUUUAAUGUUUAUUUAUUUAUUUUUGGGAGAGAGAUAGAGCGUGAGUGGAGGAGGGGCAGAGAGAGAGACGGAGAGAAUCCCAAGCAGGCCCCGAGCCAUCAGCUCAGAGCCCGACGUGGGGCUCCAACUCAUGAACCAUGAAGUCAUGACCUGAGCUGAAAUCAAGGCUGCUUAACCCACUGAGCCACCCAGGCGCCCCAAGAGGUGUUUUUAAAUAGCUGCUGAAUACUCAUCACAUGGCUCUCCCUGGCACAGGAGCUCUGGAAUCAGACAAGCGUGGUGAAUAUCCUGUCCUAAUCUCUUCCAAACUGUGUAACUUUCAACAAGCUAUUUACACGCUCCGGGCUUUAGCUCUCAUGGGAAGCGUCCAGAUCUUGAACUGAGUUGGGUAUGUAGUCAGAUCUCAAUUCCUAAUUAAUAAUUGAUUGACUUAGAAGCACGCCAUCAACUGAAACAAUGGAUCAUUAACUCUAGAACAGUCUUAUUUACUCAUUAAAGUCUCCUAAAGACCUGGGAUGGGCCGAAUUUUGUAAGUCCACUGUUUUAUUGGAUGUGACUAAGGACAGUACAAGUACAUCAGAAUCAAUGCCCCGUGGUAGCUGGAAACUAAAGCCAGCAUUGGCAGCUGUGAAGGAAUGGUAACUGAGCCACUUAAUCGCAUCCCCUUAUCGGCUCAUUGGAUUAUUGUUCUUUAUCUGUAGAGCUAGUGGUUGUGAGAGGGUUCCAACUUUUCUUGGCUGACGGCCUCAGGAGAGAGUUGCUUAACUUCUCUGUGGCUCACUUUGUCAUCUAUAAAAUGGGUCAAGUCAAAGUUCAAUACCAACCUGGCAGUGUUGUCAGAGUCAAGUGAACGCUUAGCUGAGGGAGGACGCAGGGAGGGCCAGGGUCCAGAGUAGCCACCAAUGGUCACACCCCUGGUGGGGGACGGGUGAGACGUGGUCCUCUGGGCCGGCUGCCCCCAAACCUGGAGUCCAGAAACCCAAAAGGCUGGACUGUGUUUAUCUGGCGCAGAUCGAGAAUGUUGGAACUGAUGAGAAGACAGAAUUCCUGACCCCGGUUUGUCCGGCGAGGUGCUGGCAGAUGUUACUGACGACCAGCGCUAUGGCGGGGGCAGUGUGUGUACGUGCCCUGAUUUCCUGACGUAAAUACUUCAGCCCCGGCGAAUUUCAAAUUCUAGAUAUGACAGCACUGAUCAGAGUCGAAUAGCGCCCCUGUUACGUGGUGUUUCUAUCAUACAGAUGUAACAGGUGUGAAUGUCCUCAAGGGAAUGGAUACUAGUAAAAUAUAGGAAAUUAAAUAAGAAGCUAUGAGUUUUGGGUUUUUUAACAUAAUUUUUAAAAACUUUUAUGUUUAUUUUUUGAGAGAGAGAGUGGGAGAGAGAGAGAGAGAGCUAGGGAGGGCCAGAGAGAGGGAGAGAGAAAUCCCAAGCAGGCUUCGUGCUGUCAGCGCAGAGCCCUGAUGCGGGGCUCAAACGCACAAACUGUGAGAUCGUGACCGAAGCCGCAACCAAGCGUUCGGACGUUUAACUAAGCCACCCACAUGCUUCCUAAAUACAAUUUAUUUAAUUAUAAGUUUAUAUAACUUCUUUUUUUUUAAUGAAGGUCUUUUUUUUGAGAGAGAGAGAGAAAGCACGAGUGAACACGAGGCAGAGAGAGAGAGAGAGAGAGAAUCUCAUGAAGGGCAAAGAGAGAGAGAAGGAAAGAGAGAGAAUCCCACUCUGAAAGCAUGGAGCCUGAAUCGGGGCUCGAGCUCACCCGAUGUGGGCUCGAACUCACGAACCUUGAAAUUGUCACCUGAGCUGAAGUUGGAUGCUUAACUAACUGAACCACCCAGGCACACCUAUAACUUAAUUUUAUUUAAGUAUAUUUGAGGAAUCUCUACACCCAACAUGGGACUCGAACCCAUGACCCUGAGAUCAAGAGUCACUCACUCCUCCAACUGAACCAGCCAGGCGCCCCUGUGUAACUUAGUUUUUAACGAUGGCUGUGUUUAACAACUGGCUUGCAAAAUUCAUGCACAUUUAAUAAUUGACUCUCAUGGGUCCGUGUAAACUGGGUCCAGCCACCACUGAACUAGUCCCCAGGGCUGGAGCCUAUAAUUAUGGACAAAAAACAUUCAUGUUUAGUUCAGAACCUGGCCCUGGACAAGUGUUAAGAACAGGCUCAGUGUACUUCUUAAAUACCAGUGCUCGUUCCCCUGGGAACUGUGUUCCCUCCCCCACGACACAGCCCAGUAGGUGACCUUUUGCUUCCCUGGCUCUAAGCUGUUUAUCAUCCCAAACCACCAGCAGCCCCCACACACACUUCAGGACAGACCGUCUCAGGAAUGCCUGGGACGUGCACAUAGGGCGCGAUGGCAGCCAUUCACUGAACCCAGGUCAGGUGCUCACAAGGUCAUCCGGACGGCCGGAAGGAAAACAACAGCCUGCUCCUCGGCUCUCAGCCCAUGACGUGGGUUAGGAAUGCCCUCGACAAAUAGACCUCACCAGUCCACUGCCCUUGUACGUUCCAAAACCUGGAUCUAAACUACCAUUUCUCAUUUGACUCCUCUUCUCUCCAUGGUGCCUCUACCCCUGCAAGUCACAGAGACCGUUGCAAUGUUGACAAGUAUGUGCUCUGGGAGCGUGCUCUUGAAUUAUCCCACGUAAGCCUCAUAGCAACGCUAUGAAGUAGGUACUAUUCUUGUCCCAAGUCCUGUGGAUGAGAAGUCAGAGCUUGGGGUGGUGUACUAACUUGCCCACGGUAGUCUGGAAAGGACCCGGUAUUUUUCCUUUCUCCCUCAAAUGUCUUCCUUCACAUGGUAUUCUCCUCAGUUCAUGCACGAUUAUUUUACAUUCUUUCACAUACUGCUUACUACUAAGGAUUCUCAGGCGUAGAGACAGUAGUAGGAGCCAUGGGUCUGAAAAGAUUGCUCAGGAGAAGGUGAGCUGCGGAAUGGGGUGGGGGUGGGACCGUGAUGAGACCCUGGGGGCCACCAACACUUAAGAGCCUCUGAGGAAGAGAGGACCCAGAAGGGCUGUCACAGAUGUCCAGGCGAUGGUCCGCGGUGGGGACCUACAAAGUGGAGGAGUAAAUAGGCACCAAAAUUCUGGAUUUAGUGAUCCAGAAACCAUCGCUGAUCUUGGCAGGGGACUUUUCUUUAUUUCCAUACCAGACGGUGAAGAGGCGGGACCAGGACAAGCAAGAACCCAAUCACAGUGGGUUGAAGAAAGGCUGGGAGGUAGCAGUGAGGUCAGCCAGUAUAGACCUCUCUUCCAGCAAGAACGCACGAGAGAGAUGCUAGAUGGAAGGAGGGCUUUUGGGGUGUGGCUUUUAGUUUGUUGUUUUUUAAUGUUUAUUUAUUUUUGAGAGCAAGAGAGAGCAGGGGAGGGGCAGAGAAUCCCAAGCAGGUUCUGCACUGUCAGCGCAGAACCCGACACGGGGCUCAAACCCACAAACUGCGAGAUCAUGACCUGAGCCCAAGUCAGACGCUUAACCGACUGAGCCACCCAGGCGCCCCUGUCGUUGUU